AUUGAACGCUGGCGGCAGGCCUAACACAUGCAAGUCGAGCGGAUGAAGGGAGCUUGCUCCUGGAUUCAGCGGCGGACGGGUGAGUAAUGCCUAGGAAUCUGCCUGGUAGUGGGGGAUAACGUCCGGAAACGGGCGCUAAUACCGCAUACGUCCUGAUGUAGAAAGUGGGGGAUCUUCGGACCUCACGCUAUCAGAUGAGCCUAGGUCGGAUUAGCUAGUUGGUGGGGUAAAGGCCUACCAAGGCGACGAUCCGUAACUGGUCUGAGAGGAUGAUCAGUCACACUGGAACUGAGACACGGUCCAGACUCCUACGGGAGGCAGCAGUGGGGAAUAUUGGACAAUGGGCGAAAGCCUGAUCCAGCCAUGCCGCGUGUGUGAAGAAGGUCUUCGGAUUGUAAAGCACUUUAAGUUGGGAGGAAGGGCAGUAAGUUAAUACCUUGCUGUUUUGACGGUACCAACAGAAUAAGCACCGGCUAACUUCGUG
RNAcentral lists this ribosomal RNA (484 nucleotides) under uncultured bacterium. Its description in RNAcentral is "partial 16S ribosomal RNA". It matches the Rfam family "Bacterial small subunit ribosomal RNA", at positions 30 to 507 of the family's 1533-position model. The record is from RNAcentral.